UACGUAGGGUGCGAGCGUUAAUCGGAAUUACUGGGCGUAAAGCGUGCGUAGGUGGUUCGUUAAGUCUGAUGUGAAAGCCCUGGGCUCAACCUGGGAAUGGCAUUGGAAACUGGCGAUCUAGAGUGCGGUAGAGGGCAGUGGAAUUCCCGGUGUAGCAGUGAAAUGCGUAGAGAUCGGGAGGAACAUCUGUGGCGAAGGCGACUGCCUGGACCAGCACUGACACUGAGGCACGAAAGCGUGGGGAGCAAACAGG
This 253-nucleotide ribosomal RNA is filed under the name uncultured bacterium. RNAcentral's name for it is "partial 16S ribosomal RNA". It matches the Rfam family "Bacterial small subunit ribosomal RNA", at positions 524 to 776 of the family's 1533-position model. The record is from RNAcentral.